Molecule: non-coding RNA, 382 nt
Organism: Pelobates cultripes (western spadefoot toad)
Lineage: Eukaryota; Metazoa; Chordata; Amphibia; Anura; Pelobatidae
Source: the annotation of a GenBank genome assembly
GAGAUGUUACAAAGAUUCCAACACAGCAAAAAGAGGCGUUCUUGAGUAUCCACUUCGAUUGCUGUAUCAACAUAACAUUUACUAUAAUGGGAUCCAUGUCACUUAAGACAAUGUCUUGGAAAUGCUGUCAAUUUAUUCCGUAAAAGAAUAUCGGAGAGUAUCCAAUCUAUACACAUCAUAAACGGUGUAAAAAUGUUUCAUGGAAAAAAACAAAAAGAAAAAAAGCAAAGACAAAGUCAAAUGCCAACACCAUCACCACGGUGAUAACAGAUGAUGCUGAUUCAAUAUCUGCAACCAUUUCUAGUCAAAUACUUGGAUAGCUGGAUUCUACAACCAAUACUCUACAACUAAUACCCGGGUAUUCUACAAACACAACCUCCAG